Molecule: ribosomal RNA, 725 nt
Filed under: Berosus pallidipennis
Lineage: Eukaryota; Metazoa; Arthropoda; Insecta; Coleoptera; Hydrophilidae
Description: SSU rRNA
Rfam family: Eukaryotic small subunit ribosomal RNA
Source: RNAcentral
AAUUACCCACUCCCGGCACGGGGAGGUAGUGACGAAAAAUAACGAUACGGGACUCAUCCGAGGCCCCGUAAUCGGAAUGAGUACACUCUAAACCCUUUAACGAGGAUCAAUUGGAGGGCAAGUCUGGUGCCAGCAGCCGCGGUAAUUCCAGCUCCAAUAGCGUAUAUAAAAGUUGUUGCGGUUAAAAAGCUCGUAGUCGAAUCUGUGUCUUGCGCCGCCGGUGCAUCGCUCGCGGUGUUUAACUGGCGUGUCCGCGAGACGUCCUGCCGGUGGGCUUAGCCCGGCAACGGGCGGCCCAACUUGAAAUCCCACCGCGGUGCUCUUGAUUGAGUGUCGAGGUGGGCCGGCACGUUUACUUUGAACAAAUUAGAGUGCUUAAAGCAGGCUAAAACUUCGCCUGAAUACUGUGUGCAUGGAAUAAUGGAAUAGGACCUCGGUUCUAUUUUGUUGGUUUUCGGAACCCCGAGGUAAUGAUUAAUAGGAACGGAUGGGGGCAUUCGUAUUGCGACGUUAGAGGUGAAAUUCUUGGAUCGUCGCAAGACGGACAGAAGCGAAAGCAUUUGCCAAAAACGCUUUCAUUGAUCAAGAACGAAAGUUAGAGGUUCGAAGGCGAUCAGAUACCGCCCUAGUUCUAACCAUAAACGAUGCCAGCUAGCGAUCCGCCAACGUUCCUCCGAUGACUCGGCGGGCAGCUUCCGGGAAACCAAAGCUUUUGGGUUCCGGGG